This 85-nucleotide transfer RNA is filed under the name Shinella zoogloeoides. RNAcentral describes it as "tRNA-Leu". It matches the Rfam family "tRNA". From Rfam's summary of the family: Transfer RNA (tRNA) molecules are approximately 80 nucleotides in length. The record is from RNAcentral. Lineage: Bacteria; Pseudomonadati; Pseudomonadota; Alphaproteobacteria; Hyphomicrobiales; Rhizobiaceae.
GCGGACGUGAUGGAAUGGUAGACAUGAGGCACUUAAAAUGCCUUGGCCGUGUGCCGUGCGGGUUCGAGUCCCGCCGUCCGUACCA